UGUGCUGCUAAGCGUGAACCUGGUGU
This 26-nucleotide non-coding RNA is filed under the name Mus musculus (house mouse). The record is from RNAcentral. Lineage: Eukaryota; Metazoa; Chordata; Mammalia; Rodentia; Muridae.